Molecule: long non-coding RNA, 281 nt
Organism: Mercenaria mercenaria
Lineage: Eukaryota; Metazoa; Mollusca; Bivalvia; Venerida; Veneridae
Exons: 4
Source: RefSeq, a predicted model, not a curated record
UGCAAUCUUUAGUGCUAUAUUUUACUCUCUUUUUUCACAGGAAUUGCAUUAUGGUUGUUAAUUCGUUGCAUAUGUUUAAAGAUAACACCUAGGGCAUUUACAACAAUUGACUUAUCCUGUAAACCAGUCAGUUGGAAAAACGCUGUAAUAGCAAUCUUCUGCUGGCCAUGCCAACCACAUUUAAAGGCACCUGCUAAACCACCAUGGAUUUAUGCCCAAGGCAAGAGUGAUAAAUCCAUAUGGAUAGAAUGGGAACAACCACCUCAGGAUGAUUACAGCUG